Molecule: ribosomal RNA, 603 nt
Filed under: uncultured bacterium
Lineage: Bacteria
Description: bacterial SSU rRNA
Rfam family: Bacterial small subunit ribosomal RNA (bases 1-531)
Source: RNAcentral
CCUACGGGAGGCAGCAGUAAGGAAUAUUGGUCAAUGGAGGCAACUCUGAACCAGCCAUGCCGCGUGCAGGAAGACUGCCCUAUGGGUUGUAAACUGCUUUUAUCCGGGAAUAAACCUGCUUACGUGUAAGUAGCUGAAUGUACCGGAAGAAUAAGGAUCGGCUAACUCCGUGCCAGCAGCCGCGGUAAUACGGAGGAUCCAAGCGUUAUCCGGAUUUAUUGGGUUUAAAGGGUGCGUAGGCGGCCUGUUAAGUCAGGGGUGAAAGACGGUAGCUCAACUAUCGCAGUGCCCUUGAUACUGAUGGGCUUGAAUGGACUAGAGGUAGGCGGAAUGAGACAAGUAGCGGUGAAAUGCAUAGAUAUGUCUCAGAACACCGAUUGCGAAGGCAGCUUACUAUGGUCUUAUUGACGCUGAGGCACGAAAGCGUGGGGAUCAAACAGGAUUAGAUACCCUGGUAGUCCACGCCCUAAACGAUGAACACUCGCUGUUGGCGAUCACAGUCCNGCGCGAGACGAAGAGUAGUAGUUCACCGUGGAGACGCCGCGAGGNGAAGUAANAGAGUAGAGAGNGAGAGAGACGACGACGACGACGAGGAGGGAGGAG